GUUUGGGAAAUGAAGGUAUCU
Molecule: non-coding RNA, 21 nt
Filed under: Rattus norvegicus (Norway rat)
Lineage: Eukaryota; Metazoa; Chordata; Mammalia; Rodentia; Muridae
Source: RNAcentral